UCCAACCAGGAAGGAAGCAGCAGA
RNAcentral lists this non-coding RNA (24 nucleotides) under Arabidopsis thaliana (thale cress). Lineage: Eukaryota; Viridiplantae; Streptophyta; Magnoliopsida; Brassicales; Brassicaceae. The record is from RNAcentral.